CGUUCAAAGGAAAACCACCUGGAGGAAGGGGGUAGAAAAGAUGCACGUGGGGGGCCAGGGGCUUCCACACCAACCUCAGGUCUGGCACAGGUCAGGGCAGUGGGUCUCUCCUCCCACAUUCCACAGCUCAGCGGGCCACAAACAGAAAAGGGUACCUGAGACCACAGAGAUGCUCCCGUGGAUCAUUUGCAGGCUCCCAGGUAAGUGGUGAGGUGGGCUAAACGCAAAAGCCCUCCCAAGAACAGAAGCAAAACAGAAUCCAGUUAACAUUUGGGCAGGAAAAGACAGGGCCACCCUCUCCUGCUCUCCCCAUCUCUGUCGGAAGCUCUCCGAUGUGCAGACACACCCACACAAGCCCAUCGAUCCACUCUGUGUGUGACUUAACCCAGAGAUACAGAAACAGCUGCUUAAGGAGGGAAGACAAAAGGGAAAAAAAGAUGCACACAGCCACCAACACACCCUCAACACGCUACUCCCCACAGGGCCCGGCAGGUAAAAAGGCUGUGGCUCUGGUGAGUCAACGCCUGGCCGGCUGAUCGCCCAACAGAAGAGAAGAGGGCCAGAGAGCAGCAGUGUCUACCAUACUCCACUGGAGCCAGAGACGCAGAGACACAGCUGGCGGCCGAGCGGAAGCCCCGUCUGAAGCAAGGCCAGGCUCAGCUGCUGCAGGAACAGGGAGCUCCAGAGACCCUGGCUGGAGAAACUUCACUCGGCACGACUCCCUGCUGGUGUCACCACUGCUCCUUGGGGUGGAAUAAGAGCUGAGAAGAACCAGGAACUAGGCGUUGCCAACUUGCUCCCCAGAACAGCUCGGCCGAUUUACCUGCCGGUGGCAGGUGGGAGAGGCCAUCCCACCCACCUUUGCAGCCCGACGUCCUGGCAUCCUCCGCAUCUCUGACACUGCUCAACCCACACUCAAAGCAUAUUUCCUUGCCUGGGCCUUGGAGUCAGGCAAGUCUGGGACACACACCGGCUGACCUGCCCCUCAGUUUUCUUAUAUGGAAACAAGUGGAGGUUCGGAACCCAACAGCACUGAACUCAUGUCAGCCAGAGCUGUUCUGCAGAUCCCCCUAUGUCUCAGCUGGGCUUGUUGCUGCUGAGGCCCACCAGGUGAGAGCCCUGGGAGGCCAGACACCACCCAGACGCCUUGGUGCUCUCCAGAGUACCUCAUGGAGGAGGCUUGGUUAAAACAAAAUCGGUAAA
Molecule: long non-coding RNA, 1203 nt
Organism: Neofelis nebulosa (Clouded leopard)
Lineage: Eukaryota; Metazoa; Chordata; Mammalia; Carnivora; Felidae
Exons: 3
Source: RefSeq, a predicted model, not a curated record